Molecule: ribosomal RNA, 425 nt
Filed under: uncultured bacterium
Lineage: Bacteria
Description: bacterial SSU rRNA
Rfam family: Bacterial small subunit ribosomal RNA
Source: RNAcentral
GAAUAUUGGACAAUGGGGGCAACCCUGAUCCAGCCAUGCCGCGUGUGUGAAGAAGGCCUUUUGGUUGUAAAGCACUUUAAGCAGUGAAGAAGACUCCAUGGUUAAUACACAUGGACGCUGACAUUAGCCGCAGAAUCAGCACCGUCUAACUCUGUGCCAGACACCGCGGUAAUACAGAGGGUGCAAGCGUUAAUCUGAAUUACUGGUCGUAAAGCGAGCGUAGGUGGCUUGAUAAGUCAGAUGUGAAAUCCCCGGGCUUAACCUGGGAACUGCAUCUGAUACUGUUAGGCUAGAAUAGGUGAGAGGAAGGUAGAAUUCCAGGUGUAGCGGUGAAAUGCGUAGAGAUCUGGAGGAAUACCGAUGGCGAAGGCAGCCUCCUGGCAUCAUAUUGACACUGAGGUUCGAAAGCGUGGGUAGCAAACAGG